RNAcentral lists this ribosomal RNA (254 nucleotides) under uncultured bacterium. RNAcentral's name for it is "partial 16S ribosomal RNA". It matches the Rfam family "Bacterial small subunit ribosomal RNA", at positions 524 to 776 of the family's 1533-position model. The record is from RNAcentral.
UACGGGGGGAGCAAGCGUUGUUCGGAUUUACUGGGCGUAAAGGGCGCGUAGGCGGUCAGCACAAGUCAGUUGUGAAAUCUCCGGGCUUAACUCGGAAAGGUCAACUGAUACUGUGCGACUAGAGUGCAGAAGGGGCAACUGGAAUUCUCGGUGUAGCGGUGAAAUGCGUAGAUAUCGAGAGGAACACCUGCGGCGAAGGCGGGUAGCUGGGCCGACACUGACGCUGAGGCGCGAAAGCUAGGGGAGCGAACGGG